This 400-nucleotide ribosomal RNA is filed under the name phytoplankton environmental sample. RNAcentral describes it as "partial small subunit ribosomal RNA". It matches the Rfam family "Eukaryotic small subunit ribosomal RNA", at positions 587 to 991 of the family's 1831-position model. The record is from RNAcentral.
AGCUCCAAUAGCGUAUAUUAAAGUUGUUGCGGUUAAAAAGCUCGUAGUUGGAUCUCAGCUCAUGUUAUGUGGUCCACUUGCCGGUGGUUACUACAUAGCUGAGCAUUUUACAGACCUGUCUUGCGAUGCUCUUUACCGGGUGUCGUAAGCGAUCUGUACGUUUACUUUGAAAAAAUUAGAGUGCUCAAAGCAGGCGUAACGCCCGAAUAAUCUUGCAUGGAAUAAUGAAAUAGGACCUCGGUUCUAUUUUGUUGGUCUUCGGAAUCUGAGGUAAUGAUUAAGAGGGACAGACGGGGGCAUUCGUAUUGCGGCGCUAGAGGUGAAAUUCUUGGACCGUCGCAAGACGAACUACAGCGAAAGCAUUUGCCAAGAAUGUUUUCAUUAAUCAAGAACGAAAGUA